GUGGGGAAUAUUGGACAAUGGGCGCAAGCCUGAUCCAGCCAUGCCGCGUGAGUGAUGAAGGCCUUAGGGUUGUAAAGCUCUUUUGUCCGGGAAGAUAAUGGCUGUACCGGAAGAAUAAGCCCCGGCUAACUUCGUGCCAGCAGCCGCGGUAAUACGAAGGGGGCUAGCGUUGUUCGGAAUCACUGGGCGUAAAGCGCACGUAGGCGGACCAUUAAGUCAGGGGUGAAAGCCUGGAGCUCAACUCCAGAACUGCCUUUGAUACUGAUGGUCUCGAGUUCGGAAGAGGUUGGUGGAACUGCGAGUGUAGAGGUGAAAUUCGUAGAUAUUCGCAAGAACACCAGUGGCGAAGGCGGCCAACUGGUCCGAUACUGACGCUGAGGUGCGAAAGCGUGGGGAGCAAACAGGAUUAGAAACCCCUGUAGUCA
This 425-nucleotide ribosomal RNA is filed under the name uncultured bacterium. RNAcentral describes it as "partial 16S ribosomal RNA". It matches the Rfam family "Bacterial small subunit ribosomal RNA", at positions 354 to 796 of the family's 1533-position model. The record is from RNAcentral.